This 155-nucleotide ribosomal RNA is filed under the name Thanatephorus cucumeris. RNAcentral's name for it is "5.8S ribosomal RNA". It matches the Rfam family "5.8S ribosomal RNA". Rfam says of the family: 5.8S ribosomal RNA (5.8S rRNA) is a component of the large subunit of the eukaryotic ribosome. It is transcribed by RNA polymerase I as part of the 45S precursor that also contains 18S and 28S rRNA. The record is from RNAcentral. Lineage: Eukaryota; Fungi; Basidiomycota; Agaricomycetes; Cantharellales; Ceratobasidiaceae.
AAGUUUCAACAACGGAUCUCUUGGCUCUCGCAUCGAUGAAGAACGCAGCGAAAUGCGAUAAGUAAUGUGAAUUGCAGAAUUCAGUGAAUCAUCGAAUCUUUGAACGCACCUUGCGCUCCUUGGUAUUCCUUGGAGCAUGCCUGUUUGAGUAUUAU